GGAGAGGUGGCCGAGCGGCUUAAGGUGAUCGCCUGCUAAGCGAUUGCGGGCCGAAAGGUCCGCCGAGGGUUCGAAUCCCUCCCUCUCCGCCA
Molecule: transfer RNA, 92 nt
Filed under: Acidobacteriota bacterium
Lineage: Bacteria; Pseudomonadati; Acidobacteriota
Also listed under: 1 other name
Description: tRNA-Ser
Rfam family: tRNA
About the family: Transfer RNA (tRNA) molecules are approximately 80 nucleotides in length.
Source: RNAcentral